This 302-nucleotide ribosomal RNA is filed under the name uncultured bacterium. RNAcentral's name for it is "bacterial SSU rRNA". It matches the Rfam family "Bacterial small subunit ribosomal RNA", at positions 30 to 313 of the family's 1533-position model. The record is from RNAcentral.
AGUGAACGCUGGCGGCAGGCCUAACACAUGCAAGUCGAGCGGCAGCGGGUCCCCGCGAGGGGAUGCCGGCGAGCGGCGGACGGGUGAGGAACACAUCGGAAUCUGCCUGGUUGUGGGGGAUAACGUAGGGAAACUUACGCUAAUACCGCAUGCGACCCUGAGUCGACGGACUGGGGGUGAAAGUGAGGGACCUUCGGCCUCACGCGACCAGAUGAGCCGAUGUCGGAUUAGCUAGGUUGGCGGGGGUAACGGCCCGCCAAGGCGACGAUCCGUAGCUGGUCUGAGAGGAUGAUCAGCCACAC